This 501-nucleotide ribosomal RNA is filed under the name uncultured Glomeromycotina. RNAcentral's name for it is "partial small subunit ribosomal RNA". It matches the Rfam family "Eukaryotic small subunit ribosomal RNA", at positions 591 to 1092 of the family's 1831-position model. Lineage: Eukaryota; Fungi; Glomeromycota. The record is from RNAcentral.
CCAAUAGCGUAUAUUAAAGUUGUUGCAGUUAAAAAGCUCGUAGUUGAAUUUCGGGAUCAAUGCGUCGGUCGUGCCUUCGGUACGUACUGGCGUCAUCGAUUCCUCCCUUCUUGAAGAACCGUGAUGUCAUUAAUUUGGUGUUACGGGGAAUCAGGACUGUUACCUUGAAAAAAUUAGAGUGUUUAAAGCAGGCUAACGCUUGAAUACAUUAGCAUGGAAUAAUGAAAUAGGACGUUCGAACCUAUUUUGUUGGUUUCUAGGAUCGACGUAAUGAUUAAUAGGGAUAGUUGGGGGCAUUAGUAUUCAAUUGUCAGAGGUGAAAUUCUUGGAUUUAUUGAAGACUAACUACUGCGAAAGCAUUUGCCAAGGAUGUUUUCAUUAAUCAAGAACGAAAGUUAGGGGAUCGAAGACGAUCAGAUACCGUCGUAGUCUUAACCAUAAACUAUGCCGACUAGGGAUCGGAUGAUGUUAAUUUUAUAAUGACUCAUUCGGCGCCUUACG